Molecule: ribosomal RNA, 665 nt
Filed under: uncultured Actinomycetes bacterium
Lineage: Bacteria; Bacillati; Actinomycetota; Actinomycetes
Description: bacterial SSU rRNA
Rfam family: Bacterial small subunit ribosomal RNA
Source: RNAcentral
GUGAGAGUGGCGAACGGGUGAGUAACACGUGAGUAACCUGUCCUUUUCUUUGGGAUAAGCAUUCGAAAGGGUGUUUAAUACCUUAUGUUCUGUCUGCCUCGCAUGGGGUGGGUGGGAAAGGCUUUGGCCGGAUUUGGGUGGGCUCGCGGUCUAUCAGCUUGUUGGUGGGGUGAUGGCUUACCAAGGCUUUGACGGGUAGCCGGCCUGAGAGGGUGGUCGGUCACAUUGGGACUGAGAUACGGCCCAGACUCCUGCGGGAGGCAGCAGUGGGGGAUAUUGCACAAUGGGCGAAAGCCUGAUGCAGCGACGCCGCGUGGGGGAUGAAGGCCUUCGGGUUGUAAACUUCUUUUGCUCUGAACAAGGCAUGCCAAUGGGUGUGUUGAGUGUAGGGGUUGAUUAGCGCCGGCUAACUACGUGCCAGCAGCCGCGGUAAUACGUAGGGCGCGAGCGUUGUCCGGAAUUAUUGGGCGUAAAGGGCUUGUAGGUGGCUGGUUGCGUCUGUCGUGAAAGCUCAUGGCUUAACUGUGGGUUUGCGGUGGGUACGGGCUGGCUUGAGUGCAGUAGGGGAGGCUGGAAUUCCUGGUGUAGCGGUGGAAUGCGCAGAUAUCAGGAGGAAUACCGGUGGCGAAGGCGGGUCUCUGGGCUGUUACUGACACUGAGGAGCG